Molecule: small RNA, 29 nt
Filed under: Bombyx mori (domestic silkworm)
Lineage: Eukaryota; Metazoa; Arthropoda; Insecta; Lepidoptera; Bombycidae
Description: piRNA piR-bmo-1889538
Source: RNAcentral
CAAUAGAUGGUGUUGUACUUCUCGAGCGU